AUGGACGAAAAAUUUGUUGAACUUGUUUCAGAAGAACUUUAUUCCAGGAUUUGUUCUUAUGACUCAUUCAGAUUCAAUUUUGUUGUUAACAGCAUAUGGUGGAAUACAAAAUCGUAUCAAAUCUGUUAUUUGCAUCUCCUGUUGAUAGAAUUUUGUUAUUUUUUAGUUAUGCUCUUUUGCUCGGGGUGUAACAUGUAUUAAAACCAUGCCAAAACUGUUUUCGUGGAAUCAAUAUCCAUAGAAUCGUCGUAUCAAUAGUUAGAAAUUAGAAACAAUAUGCUCUCGUAGUUUGAAGAUUCGCCCUUAUUAAGAAGUAUCCCGGAUUUGAUCACCAACCGAAAAGUUCUGGAAAAUGGCAAGACGGACAUGUUAGGGAAACAGUAAAGUUUUACGUGUAAAACAACAUAAUUUUCGGGACCCUAACCCCUUACAUUAUCGGUUGACAUAAGCACUUCGAUGCGUAGUAUUUGGUUUUGCAAUUGAAAAUCGUUUUCUAUGUUUUUAAAACAAUAAAAAGUUGUUUGGUGUGGGUAAAACGGACAUGUUAAGGAAAUAAGCAAUGAACGACGAGUCUAACUUUUGUAAUGUUAUGAAUUAACAAAACGUGAAACGCAAACACACAGGAAGGAUAUUUUGAGGGUUUUCGAUGAUUCUGAUCAUGAUCAUCCUGUAUCAGUUUUUCAGAGGUUUCCAAAUUAACAAACUGAAUAGUUUUAUGAAACAAAAAUGGUUAUUUAUUAUGCAGUGGAUUAAAUCGUAAACCAUUAUCAAUUUCUGGCAGAAAUUUUAAAUGGAAGAAAAGAAAAAAAAAUCUAGUUUAUGCAAUCCGUCUCUUCGAAGUGAUCCUAGGGAUGCCGCAUUUUACCGCGAUAGUACGAACCGGCAUUU
Molecule: long non-coding RNA, 888 nt
Organism: Wyeomyia smithii (pitcher-plant mosquito)
Lineage: Eukaryota; Metazoa; Arthropoda; Insecta; Diptera; Culicidae
Exons: 3
Source: RefSeq, a predicted model, not a curated record